GGGUAAGAUCCGACCUGGACAAAUGGCGUAACGAUGGCGGCGCUGGCUCCACCCGAGACUCAGUGAAAUUGAAAUCGCUGUGAAGAUGCAGUGUAUACGCGGCUAGACGGAAAGACCCCGUGAAACUUUACUAUAGCUUUGCACUGGACUUUGAAUUUGCUUGUGUAGGAUAGGUGGGAGGCUUUGAAGCGUGAACGCCAGUUUGCGUGGAGCCAUCCUUGAAAUACCCCCCUGGCAACUUUGAGGUUCUAACUCAGGUCCGUUAUCCGGAUCGAGGACA
This 280-nucleotide ribosomal RNA is filed under the name Pseudomonas protegens. Its description in RNAcentral is "partial 23S ribosomal RNA". It matches the Rfam family "Bacterial large subunit ribosomal RNA", at positions 1974 to 2253 of the family's 2925-position model. The record is from RNAcentral. Lineage: Bacteria; Pseudomonadati; Pseudomonadota; Gammaproteobacteria; Pseudomonadales; Pseudomonadaceae.